Molecule: long non-coding RNA, 2803 nt
Filed under: Strigops habroptila (Kakapo)
Lineage: Eukaryota; Metazoa; Chordata; Aves; Psittaciformes; Psittacidae
Description: lncRNA (ENSSHBG00005020094.1)
Source: RNAcentral
AACCAACACAAAUACUGUUUAUUUGUGAGAUGCCAUUUUACAUCAACACCAGCAAACGACCUAAAAAUCAACCAGAUGAACUCAUGUUAGGUGGCGUUAACAGUAUUUCCGUUAGGUUGUGAAUCACAGGAGUUUAGCACACCUUAUUUAUGUAAUAUCCAAAUAACUAAGACAUAAAGCAUUCACAGUUACAGGUUAACUGCUGUUCCCGCAUCAGCAGUGUCAGUAGGUACUAUUUUGUGACAACACACGUACACACACACACACACAGAGUGGGGGAAAUCCUUAAAAACGAAACCAAACCGAAAAAAAAUUCAAGCCAAGUUUUGGUCUCAAUUACAGACAACAAACUAGUUGGUGGAUAGAUUUUAUACACUUUUACAGUAGUAUGAAAGGACAGAAUAUAAGGUCUAGAAAGAGGUAUUUUAGCAGUUAUAGAGGGCACAAGCUAACCUUUAAAGCUGUGUGUAUGAAUUCCAAGAGUAUUAAACAAUUUGUUAGACUUGUGACCAAGGAUCAACAGAAAUCUGGGAAAACCUUACCACAACUGAAGUCCAUUUCUUGCCCUCCAAAAAUGUAACUUGGGAACAUUAAUCAAGUAGCAAUGAGCUGUACCUACCUUUGAUUGUGUGAGCAUAUUUGUGAUGAAAUAAAAUGCAUGUAUUUGUGGUAAGACGGAAGAUGUCUCCAAUCCUCUAUUAAUGUUAGAAAAGGCUACACAAAGGUAACCUAAGUAUUUAUUGUAGCUUAAAGACAACCUUGAACCGAAAACUCAAGCACAUAAAGGAUUCUAACAAAUUCCAUCCUCAUCAGCUUGCUUUCCUUGAAAAGGAUAACGAACGAAAACCAACACUAAUACUGAAUAAUAUUUUAAAUACUUAACAUUAUUAGAAUGAAAUUGAAUUUGUGGAAUGUUUCAGUUACUAAUAUUCACAGAAUCAUUUAGGUUGGAAAAGACCUUUAGGACCAUCAAGUCCGAAGAGCUUCAAAUGUUUGUCAUCUAUCACCUUAAGAGUGUCUGCUACUAUAGUCUCUGAAUGCUGUUUUCCUUUCACUAGCUGGCUUUCCACUUGUAUCUCCCAAACACCAAGUGUGAAUUGAACAGAGAUUAUCAAGUUUCUGCUAUAAGGAUAGUAGUAGUACACCAGAGAGAUUAGCGCAAGACCCAUGACACUUCUUCCAGAAUGACCUCCAAGUGUCUUGUCCAAGAAGUCGGCAUAUUCUGCAUAUUACUUUCUCAGAGGAAAAAAAAACCCAAGCAAAACCCUGUAUCAACUAUAUCAUGGCAUAACAAACCAAUAGCAGACACCAAAUUUACACUAAGUACAAGGUAAACUGAGUAGCUUAGUUAAAUUUCCACAAUUAUUUAAAAAUGAGAGGGAAUUUCUUCAAAAUACAAGAACUGGCAAUGUUAGGUUUCUCUGCUUAUCGGUAUAUCUAGCAAAACCAGAAGGAUGGAUAGCACAGGAAAGUUUAUCAAGCCAUACGGGUCCAUUUUAGUCCAUUUGUUCCCUAUAAACAUCAGUAAAGCCAUCUACUAGCUGCAGCUGAAUUUGUGGCUGACUUUAUGAAGAUGCAUGUUUAUAAACCAGCUGAAGAUUACGGAUUCACCCUGUUUGCAAGUGGAAGAAAAAAAAUUUGCAGCAUCUACCUGAUUCAUUUCCAAACACAUUCCUUCUUUCCAUUACUUACGAUUACUUUUACACAAAGAAAAACAUCAGUUUGUUCACUUAUAUAGCAUGAGUACUUUCUGAGGUUUCCUCUCCUAUUUCAUUUGCUCUUACUUACAUUUUGUAUUCUGCUAAACGUCAGCAAAACUUGGAAAAAGAGCACCUGAUUAAACUGAACAGAUUUCUGUUGACCCUCUUAGAUGAAAGUUAGACCUAUAACAGUAAUAGAUUAGAAGUGUCUUUGGCUCUUGCUUCCAUUAUUGGAAGCCAAAUUGUGUGACAUACAAAACCUUUUACGCACAUCUUGUAUUUGUUGCAGGAUUCACGCCAAUUUGUUCUAAACUGUUUUCUAGAGUCAGUAACUAGCUUAACACUUAGGAACAAUUACAGUAUUUCACUUAAAAUCUUAGCAAUCACAAUUUAGCCUAAUGUUAAAAGUUAUAUUGCUUCUAAGUUCAUUCUUCUCAGAACUAAACCAGCAGCUCCACUGAUUAUUUCCUUAUGGUUAUACUAUGGUAAUAUACACAUUUACAUCAGAAGUCUUAAUAAAACAUGUGUUUUUUAGUAAGAGGCAUAUUGUAAACAUUAAAUACCACACUCCACUGAAUUAAUUUCUUGUGCAAACUGGCAUCAAACAUAGAAUUAAGGUUAUGCGUAUUAGUACAUAAGAAAGCAAUGACUAUAUAUGUUUUACUACUACUAACUUCAAAGAGCACUAUUUAGUGUCAUAGAAAUCCAAACAUGACUAUUUCACAGGGAAAGGUAGUAUCUUCUUCUCAGCAUCAUGGAAUUCUAGGGUUUAGUAUAUGCAUAUAUAUUGUCUAUUUAUGUAUAUACAAAUAUACACAAACACACACAAACAAUUUUUGUCUUUGGCAGCUGAGUUUGACAAACAAAAACGAACAACAGCAAACAGAUUUGAACACAACUGACCACCUGUAGCACCACAAUUACAACCUCCUGGGCCAGGGUAGCAAACUAAUGUUUAAGCACCAUGUUUAGCUUUUGCUAAACUAGGCUUAAUCUUGAAAGUAGUCAAGUUAAGGACAGCUGUUCCUGACUUCAGUGAUGGCAGAACAGGACCUUCAAUACAGCUGAAAAUUUCACAGUCAACCUAAAACACUUUUCCCCCC